CUAGUUGGUGGGGUAAGAGCCUACCAAGGCGACGAUCGGUAGCUGGUCUGAGAGGACGAUCAGCCACACUGGGAUUGAGAACGGCCCAGACUCCUACGGGGGGCAGCAGUGAGGAAUUUUCCGCAAUGGAGGAAACUCUGACGGAGCAACGCCGCGUGCAGGAGGACGCUUUUCGGAGUGUAAACUGCUUUUCUGUGGGAAGAGAGUGGACGGUACCACAGGAAGAAGCCCCGGCUAACUACGUGCCAGCAGCCGCGGUAAUACGUAGGGGGCGAGCGUUGUCCGGAGUUACUGGGCGUAAAGGGCAUGCAGGCGGUCGGACGCGUUUUGUGUGACAGCGGGUGGCUUAACUACCCGAGUAUGCGAAAGACGGUUUGACUUGAGGGCUCGAGAGGGACACGGAAUUCCGGGUGGAGUGGUGAAAUGCGUAGAGAUCCGGAGGAACACCGAAGGCGAAGGCAGUGUCCUGGCGAGUGACUGACGCUGAGGUGCGAAAGCUAGGGGAGCGAACGGGAUUAGAUACCCCGGUAGUCCUAGCCGUAAACGAUGACCACCAGGUGUGGGAGGUAUCGACCCCUUCCGUGCCGGAGUAAACACACUAAGUGGUCCGCCUGGGGAGUACGGUCGCAAGAUUAAAACUCAAAGGAAUUGACG
Molecule: ribosomal RNA, 654 nt
Filed under: uncultured bacterium
Lineage: Bacteria
Description: SSU rRNA
Rfam family: Bacterial small subunit ribosomal RNA
Source: RNAcentral